This 579-nucleotide ribosomal RNA is filed under the name uncultured bacterium. Its description in RNAcentral is "partial 16S ribosomal RNA". It matches the Rfam family "Bacterial small subunit ribosomal RNA", at positions 355 to 932 of the family's 1533-position model. The record is from RNAcentral.
UGGGGAAUUUUGGACAAUGGGCGAAAGCCUGAUCCAGCAAUGCCGCGUGUGUGAAGAAGGCCUUCGGGUUGUAAAGCACUUUUGUCCGGAAAGAAAUCCUUGGCUCUAAUACAGUCGGGGGAUGACGGUACCGGAAGAAUAAGCACCGGCUAACUACGUGCCAGCAGCCGCGGUAAUACGUAGGGUGCAAGCGUUAAUCGGAAUUACUGGGCGUAAAGCGUGCGCAGGCGGUUUGCUAAGACCGAUGUGAAAUCCCCGGGCUCAACCUGGGAACUGCAUUGGUGACUGGCAGGCUAGAGUAUGGCAGAGGGGGGUAGAGUUCCACGUGUAGCAGUGAAAUGCGUAGAGAUGUGGAGGAAUACCGAUGGCGAAGGCAGCCCCCUGGGCCAAUACUGACGCUCAUGCACGAAAGCGUGGGGAGCAAACAGGAUUAGAUACCCUGGUAGUCCACGCCCUAAACGAUGUCAACUAGUUGUUGGGGAUUCAUUUCCUUAGUAACGUAGCUAACGCGUGAAGUUGACCGCCUGGGGAGUACGGUCGCAAGAUUAAAACUUAAAUGAAUUGACGGGGUCAUAGCUG